Molecule: long non-coding RNA, 4014 nt
Filed under: Equus caballus (horse)
Lineage: Eukaryota; Metazoa; Chordata; Mammalia; Perissodactyla; Equidae
Description: lncRNA (ENSECAG00000056759.1)
Source: RNAcentral
GAGAACUCCCCCACCAGGACAGAGGAGGAGAUGGGGGUCGCUGAACAGGUGAAUGAAGUCCAGAAAGGUUAAGAGAUUCCAUCAAAGUCAUACAGGUAAUCAGUGAGUUCCAGGUUGCGUGAAGAGCUAGCGUUCAUGGUGUGCCUCUCUGAAGCCCUAUGAAAGACCAAGUUUCGUUGUUAUCCUGGUUUUACCUGUGAGAAAACCAAUGCCACACUGCCCAGCCUUUUCAGUGCAAAAAUUUCAGCAAAAUAGCUACGUUUUCCAUUGCUUCAUUGUAUUGAGAACAGGCGUGUCUUGAUCCCACCUCUACUUUUCAAAGGUACGGCAGCUACAGUAGUUCAGGUCUUUAUCAUCACUCCCUUUUACUAUUUUAAUUAUAUAACUGCUCCCCUAACCUCCAUUCUUAUUUUCCCUCCUAUCCAACAAUUGCAUGAUUGUCAAACUGAACAUUGAAAGCUCAGGUCUAAGAAAAUUGACAAAGACGAACAAAGAUGUGUCUAAGUGAGCAAUCUCAGAGAUGCUGUGGUGUGAAUGGUGCAGCCCCUUUGAAGGGCAACGUGGUCAUAUCUACCAGAGUUACAAGCACAGGCACGCUUUGACCCAAAAUUCCACUUCCAGGAAUUUAUCCUAUUGAUAUUCUUAUACGUGCAAAGAUGUAUGUGUGAGGAUGUCAAUUAUGGCAUUGUUUAUAAUGACAAGAUAUUGGAAACAAGCUAUUGAAAUGGUAGAGCUACUGAAAUGAAUGAUGGUAAUUGCCUUUUAUUUUUUAAGGAAGAUUAGCUCUGAGCUAACAUCUGCCACCAAUCCUCCUCUUUUUUGCUAAGGAAGAUUGGCUCUGAGCUAACUCCAGCGCCUGUCUUCCUCCACUUUGUAUGCCGGAUGCCUGCCAAAUCAUGGCUUGACAAGCAGUGUGUAGGUCCACACCCGGGAUCUGAACUGGCAAACCCCGGGCCGCCAAAGCAGAAUGUGAGAACUUAACGGCUGUACCACCGGCUGGCCCCUGAAUCAUGGUAAUUGGAUGAUGGAAUUUGUAAGGGCCAUUUGCCAGUUGCUCCCUAGAAUCCACUCCCUUUUGUCCCCUCUUAAUCGUUGGUUGGGGUUGGCCCCCACUCCUGACUGAGGGCAGCCAAUCAGCCCAUCAUAUUUCCUUGGCCUCAGAACUGUUUCAUGUAAGAAAAAAUCUUGUCCAAUCAGAAUGAAUCAGAAUGAUUACGAGGCGUAGAAUAGCUGCAGCCAGGAGGGGCAGCCUGGAGCCUCCAGGAGGCCUGAGAUGGACCCUGAGAGAGGAACUAGUCCAACGACGUGUGCUGGGGGAUGGAGCCUACUGGGGUCAAGCUGGGUGACAUGCCGAAGCGGGGCGAAUGCCCUUUUGGUUUUGGUUCUUGUUUAGCUGGCCUGAGGUGAGUCGCCUUUCACUUGCAGCCAUAAGGAUCCUAGGUGCUAAAGGAUGCCCGGUAGCUGUGAAAGGAAGUGAGGUGCAUCUACAUUUGCCCAUGUGGAAUUCCUUGAGAUACUUUGUGAAAUGAAAGCAUUAUACAACGAAUAUAGAAUAUACUCCCUUCUAUAUAAAUGAAAAGCUGUGAGAAUGAGUGAGUGCCUGUGCAUGUGUGGAUGUGUGUGAUGUGUAUAACAGUCUCAGCUAGUCCACGCAAUGCUUUUGAACAAAUUAGGAAAAGACGCUCCCUCUGGUAUGUGCAGCCCCAUGCCACGGAGCAGCUUGGCAAGCAAGUGUGCAAUGGAUUUUAACCCCUCCUUGUCUCUGUGGCUGGGGGGCUUCAUGCUGUACACAAUCUACACAAUAUGCCAUGGUCCUUUGUCUAUAUACUUGUAUAUGAUAUUUCCGGUAGGAUACAUGCAAAACCAGAAAGACAGGUUGCUUCUAGGAAGGGAAGACUCGGAGUUUGGUGGUAGUAGGGUGAAAGGAGGCUUGUCCUCUGUGCUGCCCUGGGGGGGGUAUUUGAAUUUUACUACCAUCUACACAAAUUACUUUUCAAAACUAGUUCAUUUGAAUAAACAAGUAGGAAAGCAAACAAAAACACAGGUUUGAUCUCAGUUACUCCCUUGUUUCAAAAAACUUUCAACAAUCCUCAUGAAGAACUUCCAGCUACUUGAGCACAUCAUACAAAGGUUGCAGCUGGCCCCAGCCUGCCAUCCUAGCCUUACCUCGGGCAGCUCGCUUGGCCUCUCCGCCUUUGCAGCUGCUGUCCUCUCUGCUCUUCCCUGUGUCCCACCUGGGGGACUGCCGUCAUCCUCGGGGGCCCUUGUUCCUGGGUGUGCCCACAGUCCUUGGUGCCUUUCCCUUUCUUGCUACCUACCACAUUUUAUUGCAAUUGUUUGUUUAUUCCUACGCCACCUGCUUUCUGUGAGUGAGCUCUUUGACGGACCUGUGUCCCUGGACUUAGGACAGUUGGUGCUUGUGACACGAUGGGAAGAGGCAUCUCAUAGCUGUUCGCUGAACAAAUGGAGUGUGGAACUCCCUUUCAGAAUCACCUGAGAUCCUUGACAAGAAUGUGUAUUCCUGGGACCCACCUCAGGACAACUGAAUUAGACUCCCUGAAGGGUGGAGCCCAGCAAUUCCGACUUUUAACCAGCCCCCUCGAUGAUUCUAAUGCCCACUAAAGCCUACAAACUGCUGGUUCAGCAACUCUUCCUUCAGAAGCCCUUGGGAUCUGCAUAUUUGGGAAUCUGGAACUACCUGACGGGACAGAGCAAAAAUAGACCAAGCGUUCUCUGAGCUCUGCAGCGUCACCUCCUCGUGCGUCCUUGAGGUGUUCCUGAAGGCUGCUUCUCUGGGGUUUGGGGCUGAUGUCAUUGUUUUUCCUGGCACCACUGCUUUGCUGGUUCUAAAAAGCACUUUUAAAAGUAUCAGCUUUUAGGAUAAAAACUCUAGGAAUCUUGAAACAAAAUGUGGGUACAACUCAGAUUAACUCCACACUUGUCCUUACCCCUCAGCCUCAAGCCCCUUCCUGCCUGGUCCUGAGGUAGAGAAUGUUUCAGGCUGAUCCAUUUCAAGGAAGUCUCCUGGAGACGCUGUGUUUCCAUCUUACAUGAAGGUUAAUUACACUAUGCUAAAUUCCAAGGGGCUGAUCAGUUUGCUUUGUGGAAAUGAUAUUUCUGUCAUUUUGAAUAAUUUUUGAAAUGUGAAUGUGAUUGGCCUGUAUUUGGCCGCCCUUUUUAUUUAGAGAGUUUUCCUGGAAUAGAAGUUUAGCUUCAUCCACAUGUGCUCAUUUACACCAUAUAUUACAGACACCCAUUGCUCUGGGCCACAGGGCAGCGCUCACACCCUCUGCCUCCCUCCCUUGGGGGAUGAAGUCACUCAUAGACAUGGUUCACUGCUAUAGACGGAAUGGUUGUGUCCUCUCAAAAUUCAUAUGUUAAAUCCUGACCCCCAAUGCAAUGGUACUUGGAAGUGAGGUCUCUGGGAGGUGAUUAGUUCAUGAGGGCAAAGCCCUCAGGGAUGGGAUUAGUGCCCUUAUAAAAGAGACCCCAGAGAGCUCCCUUGCCCCUUCUGCCAUGUGAAGACAGAAUGAGAAGAUAGCUGUCUAUGAACUAGGAAGUAAGCUGGCACCAGACCCCGAAUCUCCUGGCAUCUUAAUCUUGGACUUUCCAGGCUCAGGAACUGUGGGAAAGAAAUGCUUGUGUAAGCCCCCGACUGUAUGGUAAUUGUUAUAGCCGCCCGAAUGGACUAAGACAUUCACACUGUUGCCCUUGUGCCAAGCAGAGUGCAGGAUACAUUAGUGCAAGAGGGUGAGCCUGUGCCCUGUGUCAAGGAGUUUAAUCUAAACCCCCAUUCUCCAAUGCAGUCGCCCCCAGCCACAUGUGACUAUUGAACACUUGAAAUGUCUGAAUGGAGAUGUGCUGUAAGUGUAAAAUAUACAUCAGAUUUCAAAGACUUUGUAGGAAGAAAAAGCGUGUAAAAUAUCUCAUUAACAAUUGUUUUAUAUUGACUACAUGUUGAAAUCAGAAUGUUUUGGAUAUAUUAGGUUAAAUAAAAUAUACUAUUAAAAUUAA